CCGGGGUUCCGACUCCGAUUAAUAUGGAUAAGUUGCACCGCCGCAUCAUGUUUGCCAUGUCAUGCAUAUCCUCUUGAUCAUGCUGGAUCUUCUUUAUCCGUAGUAGUAAGACUUGCAUACGUUGUGUGUUCCAGCAUUUGCUUCUUCCCGGAUAGGAUCACGAAGUGGUGAUGUGAGUUACGACGAGUUCUCCGACAAGUUCUUCUGCAGCUUUUCACAGGCGAGCCCACCCCUUCACCUAUUUUACUUUUACAUGCUCUUUUGAUCUAUUGCUAUCCUUGUGUUGCGAUUCUGUUGUGUCACGUGUCCUAUCCACCUGUUACCUAUAUGUCCGAGAUACACCUCCUCGCCCUACCUAUUGUUUGUUGUUUGCCAGCUUUGCGAGUCGUAGGCGAGUUUAGGGUCUUGUUGAUAUCUCGAGAUGUUCGGGAUAUCUUGUUGGGAGGUUAUCACAUGCUAUAUCUUUUGUUGGAGAUAAUCACACUUUAUUUUAUUGUUAACAACUAAAAUUGUAAGCAGAGGCAUCUGUGAGCCCCUUUGCGAAAGCAUCGGAACUUUGACUCGCUAAUGUCCCCUAGGACCCGAGUUCUUGUUAUCUGUUCCGAGAUUGAGCGCUCUACCCGUACGUGGGGGAGUGGGACCCCCAUCACCCACUACCUUUCCUCGAGUCUGUUUAUUGGGAGCCACAACCUUGGUUUUAUUUGCUCAUAUGCACGAUGCACGAUUUACUUCUGUUGCCUUCGGGUGUUUAUAUUAUGUUUUGUACUCAUAUCGUGGAACGAUUAGCGACAGCAGGUUGUUCACACUUAGCUUAGCCGUUGGCACAAACCUCUGGGUCCGUAUCGGAGUACGGCCGAACUUCGUCACGGGUAGCUUAGUGGGGUGGCUCCCCUUAAACUUUCUCUUGCAUUGGGAACGGUCUUGAUGUGAGACUCCACCUGUAGUAAGUGGGUUCGAGCAUGCGUAUGGUUACAUUUGGGCAACCCCUGCAGGGUGUACAUCUUAUCGAUAAGCCGCGUCCGCGGUUAUGGACGACUUGGAAUUGUAUAGCUUGAUCAUAGAACAACUUACACCUUAUUUCCUGUUGUUAAUAAAUUGCUAAUAAAACCCUUUCAAAAGUGUGUGUGCCUUCGCCAGUACCUCUUUGCGAAGGGGGAACGCAUCGGCUGUGUUAUGUUUGCAGAGUAUAGAACUGUUAUCUUGUGCGCUCUCUUAUCUUCUCUGAGUAGACGGAUGUUGUAGCGUGUCUCUAUUGGAUAGUAGCUUUGCUGCCGCUAAACUCCACAUAUAGCCGGGUGAAGUUUAUACCGCCCACCAGCGAGCAUAGCUGGUCUUGUCUCGCAAGUACGUGCCAAUGGUACUUACCCUCGCCUUUCUUUUCUUUUUGUCUCCUCCCCCUUUUGUCGGCAACCGAUGGCCCGACUUUGACAGGUACGAGAUGAUGACGUUAGCAAGGUUACCCUUCCGGCUUGGCCUGGGCAGGGUUAUGGACGCCACUGGUUAUCUUCAGGACUCUUAGUCCAAUUUGUAUCUUGUCCGUACUCGGACGUAUGUGAUCUUCUGUAUGAUUUGGAUAUUUGUAUGUAUCGAUUUGUAUCUUGACUCGUUGGAGUCGUUGUUGUAAUAUAUGUAUCUUGUGGGCUCUAUUGUAAUCAUGUUGUAAUGUUACCGCUCGUGUUAAUUCCUCUGGCAUCACGUGUGUGAUUCGUCGCGCACGUCGUGUCGGAGGGCGUCUCUGAAUCGAUAUCGUGCGGAUUUCGGCGGGAUCGCUGGAAUCCUCAUGGUACCGGUUCCGGGGCGUCACAAGUUGGUAUCAGAGCUCAGGUUGACGGUACCCCACUAGUCCAGCCUGUAGGAUAACCUUGCCAACGGACGUCGUUGUGUCUAGUGUCAAAACUAUUUUCUAAAAAUUCGUUGGAAAGUUCUGAUUAGCUCUGAUUUUUCUCCUUACCUAUAUUCUUUCUCCUCUUCUCUAUGCGAGUUUUGAGUCCUCUCUCUUAUCUGAGUUCUCUGAGUCUUAGGUUCCCACGUGGGUUGGACGAUCUAUGCAUUAUCCUAAUAGGUCCGCUCUCUGAAGAUUUUCCAACAGAAGAAACAUCAACGACGACUAUCCUUUGUCUUACCCGUUAACGUCAUCUUUGUUCCGUGAUCAUUCUUCAAUUCUUUGUGCUUUGACCCGUCGGAUCUUCGCUGUCAACGCUUGUCAGGAUCGCCAAUCUGAAUGCUGGGAGUUGGUUGCACGAUUCUUCUAUUCAUGUACGGAGUAAUACUUUGGGUGCGGAAUGGAUUGGCCCCCAUGCCGACUACUCUUAUUAUUCGCUCUUGUUACAUUGAAUUGGUGAAUCAGUGUGAUUAUUACUCCUUUUCUCUUUGUUCUACGGAGCCUGGUCUUCUGCAAUACGAGUUCCAACAGAAGCACCUCAUCAUCGACGGGACAACGACUUCUUGUUGGUGGUGUCGCCGUUCUACAUGGAGUAACAAUUCUUGUUAGUGGUGUCGAGGAGAUCGACACGUCGCCAGAAGAUCCGAUAGUUCACCUCUCUCCCCCGUACCUGGACGAGGGAUCUCGGGGCGCGAUCCCUUGUUAGUGGUGUCGAUUGUAACGGCCCGGGAUAGUACCCCUAAUAGAUUUUGUUUGUUCUUUUCUUUUUGUGCAUCGUCAUUUCAUCAUGCAUCAUAUCAUCCAUGUUUUCACUAAAUAAAAUUAUUUUUAUAAACCCUAGCUAUUUUGUUUUCCUCUCAUAUGAUUUUAUUAAUAAAACCUCAUCUUUCCCUUUUCUUUUUUACAAAAUCCUAAAACCUAAUCUUCUCUCCUGGCCCUCUCUCUCUCUCCCUGGCUUUUUCCUCCGGCGGCCCAAGCCCAGCAAUCCUCUCCCUCUCUCCCUGGCCCAAGUCCCUCUCUCCUUUCUUCCUUACCCGGUGGCCCAUCUCUCUUCUUUCUCUGGCCCAAGCCAUCUCCCUCUCGGCCCACUUUUCUGGACGAAGGGGUACGCCUCCUUUUUGCCUUGUCGUCUUUCUCCACGCAUCACGCACAUGGCGUGAGGAGGAUGCCGUGGUCCUCCCCACCACCGCGCCCGCCUCCACCUGCUCUCCAUCCCCUCCCUUUAAUCCUCUCCAGAUCCCCCUGGAAACCCUAGCCUCCCUCUCGUCCUCCCUCGCGCCGCCACCUCCUUUCCCCCCUCUUUUUCUUCGUCUCUGUGAACGCAACCAAGGAGCACCACCGCCACUGCCCACCAUGGCGCCGCCGCUCUGUUCCAUCCCCCGACGAUUUGAGACCACCACCAGAAGCGCCUCGUCUUCCUCUACAUCCUCGUCCAAGGAAUCGACCUGAGGCGCUUUGUAUCAAGCGCACGGUCGCCGAUUCCUCUUUCGUCUCCGGCGAGAUAAUCCUCAAUUACGGCAGCCCUCGUCCUCCUCCGGCCAAACCGAGCACACCACCUCCUUCCCUGCGUCGAGCCGCACCCCCGACGCCAUCUCUCGCAUCCUGGUUCGUCCCGUCUCCGUCGUCCCCGAGCUCGUCUGCAAGUGUCCGCCAUGGCCCCUAUCUCCGCUCGUUUCUGCUUCAACAUGUCACGAAGCCCGUGUUCAUCAACAACAGUAACUGUAGCCCAGUGAUCUCGAGUUCAGAGAUGUUUCAGCUUAUGCGUGAGAUCAUCCAAGUCAACAACAUCAGCUAGCUCUUCUGACGGGCCUCGGCCCAGAUCCUCCGUCCCUGAUCAACGCCCGCGCGGCCCGAAGUUCCCGUCGCCGACGCAGAUCAGAUCCGGCCCAGGACAGUGCAGCAUUUGCUUCUUCCCGGAUAGGAUCACGAAGUGGUGAUGUGAGUUAC
Lolium perenne is the source of this 3829-nucleotide long non-coding RNA. RefSeq lists it as uncharacterized. The record is from RefSeq and is a predicted model, not a curated record. Lineage: Eukaryota; Viridiplantae; Streptophyta; Magnoliopsida; Poales; Poaceae.